This 398-nucleotide ribosomal RNA is filed under the name uncultured bacterium. Its description in RNAcentral is "bacterial SSU rRNA". It matches the Rfam family "Bacterial small subunit ribosomal RNA", at positions 64 to 507 of the family's 1533-position model. The record is from RNAcentral.
GAGCGCCGUAGCAAUACGGAGCGGCAGACGGGAGAGUAACACGUGGGAACGUGCCCUUCAGUUCGGAACAACCCCAGGGAAACUUGGGCUAAUACCGGAUACGUCCGUAAGGAGAAAGAUUUAUCGCUGAAGGAUCGGCCCGCGUCUGAUUAGCUCGUUGGUGAGGUAACGGCUCACCAAGGCGACGAUCAGUAGCUGGUCUGAGAGGAUGAUCAGCCACAUUGGGACUGAGACACGGCCCAAACUCCUACGGGAGGCAGCAGUGGGGAAUAUUGGACAAUGGGCGCAAGCCUGAUCCAGCCAUGCCGCGUGAGUGAUGAAGGCCCUAGGGUUGUAAAGCUCUUUUGUGCGGGAAGAUAAUGACGGUACCGCAAGAAUAAGCCCCGGCUAACUUCGUG